RNAcentral lists this unclassified non-coding RNA (258 nucleotides) under Sordariales sp. Its description in RNAcentral is "partial contains 5.8S ribosomal RNA, internal transcribed spacer 2, and large subunit ribosomal RNA". The record is from RNAcentral. Lineage: Eukaryota; Fungi; Ascomycota; Sordariomycetes; Sordariales.
CGCACAUUGCGCCUGCUAGUAUUCUGGCAGGCAUGCCUGUUCGAGCGUCAUUUCAACCCUCAAGCCCUAGCUGCUUGGUGUUGGGGCAUCUACGGAGCUUUCCGUAGGCCCCGAAAGACAGUGGCGGUCUCGCUAAGACUCCGAGCGCAGUAGUUUUUUUCUCGCUUAGGGUGUCUGUGCGGGUGCCAGCCGUUAAACCCCCCAUACUUUUAUAAGUGGUUUGACCUCGGAUCAGGUAGGAAUACCCGCUGAACUUAA